Molecule: long non-coding RNA, 122 nt
Organism: Chlorocebus sabaeus (green monkey)
Lineage: Eukaryota; Metazoa; Chordata; Mammalia; Primates; Cercopithecidae
Source: RefSeq, a predicted model, not a curated record
GAACUUCCGCGGUUUCCAGUGACGGUUGUGGCACGGCACAUGCUGAAAAGUUGCAGAUAAGAAACCUGAGAAGCCACAAGAAAGCCAAGUAGCCUAGGAAAAAGUGAGCAUUGAGCCACGAG